UUGGAGCAUGAUUUUGAGACAUCAGUUUGAAUAUUAAAAAGUGAAUUUUACAGGGACAUAAGGUACUGUGAUGAAAAGGAAAUUAUGUCUGACCAUGGGGAUUAUGCUAGUGAAAUAGUCAAGAUUUUCUCUUAGAUCUUUAGCACCUUCAUUCUGCACAUGUUCGAGGAAUGUGCCAAUCUAUUUGGUUAUUUCUUUAUCAUCAAAUAUGAAGUGACGUGCAUUGUCUGCUGCCAUUGAACACAAUAGUUCACGUGCUUCGUUUGGAGUCUGGGGACAGGUAUCUGAAUAUCAUUUGAACAAUGGUGACUGAGGAGUCAUCAAAGAGGCUGUUUAUCACAAUGACCUCCAUUAGUUCUCCUUUGUUCAAAGGCAGCUGGGGUUUGAGUUUACAGAGCACCAUGUUCAGGCAUGUACUUGGGUCUGCAGAUUUCACACGACAUUUUGCUUUUUAAGCUCACUUUGACUUUCAAAUCAAAGACAACUGAGAACACUAGCAGCAUACAAAACAUCAGGUGCACGGUCAGCACACUUUACUGAGAAAUCUGCAAAAAGAACAAGGUUAGGACAUUUGAAAGUAGCUCUCUCCUAUCAUUCCCCUUUCCCCCCAAGUCUAUUUAGUUAGAGGGGUUUUCAAGUAUUCUUUUAGUAGGUGAGUUGAGGACCCAUGACCCCAAAUUUACAAAUGAAGGUAGAAAAUACUGAUAUGGUAUGGAUAGGGGAAGGGAUUUAAAGAAUUACAAAAAAGUAUGUACUAGUCGGAGAAGCAGAGCUGUGGACAAUGUGUGAAUACUGAAAGAUUUUGCCUUGCCAGCU
This 816-nucleotide long non-coding RNA is filed under the name Bos taurus (domestic cattle). RNAcentral describes it as "long non-coding RNA NONBTAT011735". Lineage: Eukaryota; Metazoa; Chordata; Mammalia; Artiodactyla; Bovidae. The record is from RNAcentral.